UGGGAAUAUUGCACAAUGGGCGUAAGCCUGAUGCAGCGACGCCGCGUGAGGGAUGACGGCCUUCGGGUUGUAAACCUCUUUCAGCAGGGAAGAAGCGAAAGUGACGGUACCUGCAGAAGAAGCACCGGCUAACUACGUGCCAGCAGCCGCGGUAAUACGUAGGGUGCGAGCGUUGUCCGGAAUUAUUGGGCGUAAAGAGCUUGUAGGCGGUUUGUCGCGCCUGCUGUGAAAAAAUCCGGGGGCUCAAACCCCCGGAGCUUGCAGUGGGUAGCGGGCAGACUAGAGUGUGGUAGGGGANACUGGAAAUUCCUGGUGUAGCGGUGAAAUGCGCAGAUAUCAGGAGGAACACCGAUGGCGAAGGCAGGUCUCUGGGCCACUACUGACGCUGAGAAGC
This 394-nucleotide ribosomal RNA is filed under the name uncultured bacterium. Its description in RNAcentral is "partial 16S ribosomal RNA". It matches the Rfam family "Bacterial small subunit ribosomal RNA", at positions 356 to 754 of the family's 1533-position model. The record is from RNAcentral.